Molecule: small RNA, 725 nt
Filed under: Lactifluus foetens
Lineage: Eukaryota; Fungi; Basidiomycota; Agaricomycetes; Russulales; Russulaceae
Description: eukaryotic LSU rRNA
Rfam family: 5.8S ribosomal RNA (bases 261-414)
Source: RNAcentral
CAUUUAGAGGAAGUAAAAGUCGUAACAAGGUUUCCGUAGGUGAACCUGCGGAAGGAUCAUUAUCGUACAACCAGAGGCACCGGGGGCUGUCGCUGACCCUUCUGGGUCGUGCACGCCUUUAGUGUUCUCAAACAAUCCAUAUCCUACUCACCCUUUUGUGCAUCACCGCGUGGGCUCCUAAAAGGGGCUUGCGUUUUUCACACAGACCACUCCUUGGUAUAGAAUGCUUUCAUUUAUUGCGAUCAUACGCAAUCAAAUACAACUUUCAACAACGGAUCUCUUGGCUCUCGCAUCGAUGAAGAACGCAGCGAAAUGCGAUACGUAAUGUGAAUUGCAGAAUUCAGUGAAUCAUCGAAUCUUUGAACGCACCUUGCGCCCCUUGGCAUUCCGAGGGGCACACCCGUUUGAGUGUCGUGAAAUCCUCAACCUUCACCGUUUCUUUAACCGGUGAAGGCUUGGACUUUGGAGGGUUUUUGCUGGCCUCUCGUCUUGAAGCCAGCUCCUCUUAAACAAAUUAGCAGGGUUUCCUUUGCCGAUCCUCGACUGUGAUAAGCUGCUUCUACGUCCUUGGUUUCUGGCGACGCUCGCUUCUAAUGGUCUUCUCCUUGACCCCUUUUAGGGGCCUUGCACUCGGGAAACCCCCUUCUUUUGACCUCAAAUCGGGUGAGACUACCCGCUGAACUUAAGCAUAUCAAUAAGCGGAGGAAAAGAAACUAACGCGUCUU